GAAUAUUGCACAAUGGGCGCAAGCCUGAUGCAGCGACGCCGCGUGGGUGAAGAAGGAUUUCGGUCUGUGAAGCCCUUUUCUGUGUGACGAGAAUGGACGGUAGCACAGGAAUAAGUCUCGGCUAACUACGUGCCAGCAGCCGCGGUAAAACGUAGGAGGCAAGCGUUAUCCGGAGUUACUGGGCGUAAAGGGCGUGCAGGUGGUUCAAUAAGUUGGUUAUGAAAGCUCCUGGCUAAACUGGGAGAGGUUGACCAAGACUGUUGAACUUGAGUGGAUGAGGGGUAAACGGAAUUCCGCGUGUAGUGGUGAAAUGCGUAGAGAUGCGGAGGAACACCAGUGGCGAAGGCGGUUUACUGGCAUCCAACUGACACUGAGACGCGAAAGCAUGGGUAGCGAACGGG
This 401-nucleotide ribosomal RNA is filed under the name uncultured bacterium. RNAcentral describes it as "bacterial SSU rRNA". It matches the Rfam family "Bacterial small subunit ribosomal RNA", at positions 359 to 776 of the family's 1533-position model. The record is from RNAcentral.